RNAcentral lists this ribosomal RNA (252 nucleotides) under uncultured bacterium. Its description in RNAcentral is "partial 16S ribosomal RNA". It matches the Rfam family "Bacterial small subunit ribosomal RNA", at positions 524 to 776 of the family's 1533-position model. The record is from RNAcentral.
UACGGAGGGUGCGAGCGUUGUCCGGAAUCAUUGGGCGUAAAGGGUACGUAGGCGGUCUAGUAAGUUAGAAGUGAAAGGCAUUAGCUCAACUAAUGUAAGCUUUUAAAACUGCUAGACUUGAGAGAUUGAGGGGAAAGUGGAAUUCCUAGUGUAGCGGUGAAAUGCGCAGAUAUUAGGAGGAAUACCGGUGGCGAAGGCGACUUUCUGGCCAUUAUCUGACGCUGAGGUACGAAAGCGUGGGUAGCAAACAGG